This is a non-coding RNA of Mesocricetus auratus (golden hamster), 347 nucleotides long. NCBI's taxonomy places the organism in Eukaryota, Metazoa, Chordata, Mammalia, Rodentia, Cricetidae. The record is from Rfam.
GGAUAAGAGGUCGAUCUGACUGUGACAUCUGUCACCCCAUUGAUCGCCAGGAUUGAUUCAGCUGAUCUGGCUGGCUAGGCGGAGGAUGUCCCCUUCCUCCCUCACCUCUCCAUGUAUGUCACUCCUGAAGUUGCAUGCUCAGUCGAAUGGGACGACCUUCCUCAAUAGACAACCGGUCUUUGGUCAAGGGUAUACGAGUAGGUGCGCUCUCCUGCUAGAACCUUCAAACAAGCUCUAAAGGUCCAUUUAUAUAAAUUUUUAUACAUAAAAGGAAAUAAAUUUCUGGAUAUGCAGAAUUGUACCAUGAACACAUAUAUCCAUAAAUAUGUCUAUGUAACAAAUUAUUU